AAAAAAUUAGGGGUUCUGGAGGUGCAUGCCUUUAAACCUCACGCAACCAUAAUCCCGACGGAAAACUAAACUCAUAUAAAGUCACUGUAAUUUCGAGAGAUUGAAAUUGAGUUUUGACAGUGGUGAAGUCGUCGUCCACUCACUGUUCCUAUUCACUGCUUGGAAAAAGGUAAAGUUUUCAUAUUCUUACACAUCUCUUCUGUAAAAAUUGGUAAUCGCGUGACUGGAAUAUGUAGUGUAUGAAUAUUGAGAGUUUGAAUUUGAUUUUGUAGUUACAAUCUCACUGCAUGGGGAUAUAACUCAAGUUCUUAUCUUUGUUUUCAUUCCCUUUUGUGACUUAGCCAUAUCUCCAUAGUACCUUAAGCGCUCUGCUACUUAUUGCACUCAAAUAUUGAUUAUGUCUUUAUGGUUGAACUGAUUUUGGGUGCCUUGUUUCAAAUGGUUGGGUUGAAGUAUUGUUGGUGUGAUUUAAAAUAGUCUUGAAGUUAAGAAUUUUCCUAUGAUUCUGGCAUAAUCAGUUAGGAGGAGAUGGAGCCAUUUCCCGUAAAAAUAGAACUAGAAGAUGGAGAAGAAUGAUGAAAUUGUCAUUUUUCGUCUUAAUAUAGUAACACACACCCUUAUUAAUGCUCUAUUCGACAUCCUUAGAAUAACCAAGACAGACGUGCUCGGAAUAUCCUAAUAAGAAAGUUGGAAAACUUUCUAACUGGAGUUGUGUAACUCCAGAUGAUGCCAAAAAAGCCCUUCCUCGGAUUCGAACCGUGACUUUCUUAGCCUAUUUCUAAAGGGUGAACUGAUCAACUUACAUGUGUCAAGCAUACGACCGAAGUAGCAUAAUUAGACUUUCUUAUAACUUUUUUGACUAGCUAUAAACUUCAACCCCCUUCGAUGUCAAUUUAGAAUGAAUCUAUGUAAAGAUCUUAAUAGGAUAAUAUUUGUCAAUAUUGACUUGCCUUUUUUAUUUCCUCAAUACCUAAUUCUUAUUAUUUUCUUUGGUGCAUGUGAAACAAAUUCUAGUCCAAUUGGACUCUGUAUCCCUUGCAUUUUCUGGGGUGCCAAAGAGGCCCAAUUUGUCAAGUUAUGCCUCAUUAAAGUCCUCAAAAUGGAUCAGUAUACCAUGGACAGCUGCUGGUAUACACAGCAUACAGAUGAUAUACGAGGUUUACCGGUUAAAGGUUGCUUCUAUAAGCCAAGAAAUGACACUCAAAUAUUGAUUAUGUCUUUAUGGUUGAACUGAUUUUGGGUGCCUUGUUUCAAAUGGUUGGGUUGAAGUAUUGUUGGUGUGAUUUAAAAUAGUCUUGAAGUUAAGAAUUUUCCUAUGAUUCUGGCAUAAUCAGUUAGGAGGAGAUGGAGCCAUUUCCCGUAAAAAUAGAACUAGAAGAUGGAGAAGAAUGAUGAAAUUGUCAUUUUUCGUCUUAAUAUAGUAACACACACCCUUAUUAAUGCUCUAUUCGACAUCCUUAGAAUAACCAAGACAGACGUGCUCGGAAUAUCCUAAUAAGAAAGUUGGAAAACUUUCUAACUGGAGUUGUGUAACUCCAGAUGAUGCCAAAAAAGCCCUUCCUCGGAUUCGAACCGUGACUUUCUUAGCCUAUUUCUAAAGGGUGAACUGAUCAACUUACAUGUGUCAAGCAUACGACCGAAGUAGCAUAAUUAGACUUUCUUAUAACUUUUUUGACUAGCUAUAAACUUCAACCCCCUUCGAUGUCAAUUUAGAAUGAAUCUAUGUAAAGAUCUUAAUAGGAUAAUAUUUGUCAAUAUUGACUUGCCUUUUUUAUUUCCUCAAUACCUAAUUCUUAUUAUUUUCUUUGGUGCAUGUGAAACAAAUUCUAGUCCAAUUGGACUCUGUAUCCCUUGCAUUUUCUGGGGUGCCAAAGAGGCCCAAUUUGUCAAGUUAUGCCUCAUUAAAGUCCUCAAAAUGGAUCAGUAUACCAUGGACAGCUGCUGGUAUACACAGCAUACAGAUGAUAUACGAGGUUUACCGGUUAAAGGUUGCUUCUAUAAGCCAAGAAAUGACGUUAUGAUGAAGUUGGGAGCAAGUAUACAGGUUUUAUAUGCUAAUAUACAGUGUAUAUACAGAAAAACACAAAGAAAAGAGCUAUGAUAUACAGAUGAUAUACACUUCAGAAAAUGGAUUGAAGUCCAUAAUCCCAAGCCCAAAGGCUGGGCAGCUUGAUAAAUGGGCCAAUUAAAGGCCGAACUUCAAUUCUUGUAUUAUUCUUUGUAGCUUAUAAUUUAGGAAAAAUUAAUGAAAGUAACAUAGUUAAGAGUAUAAUUGCAUUAAAUAACAACAUUUUUUCAAAAUUACAAUUUAUAGCAAGAGUAACAUUAUUUUGUCCAUAAAUUUCAAACACACGUGUUUCACUCCCUCUCUCCUAUUUUUACUUCAUUACUUUACCUCUCUCCUAUUUUUACUCCAUUACUUCACUCCCACAAAAAAACAUUUUACAUCCACUGAAGAUUUUUAUCUUCAUGAGCUUCGAAAAUUCAAAAUAGAUCAUCAAUGGUGUUAUAGGUAUUGAAUCAAAAAAUUAUUUUCGUACAUCAAUUUCAACAACUUAAAAUGAUUUAAUAUUGUUUGAUAUUGUUUUUUCAUCUUUUUUUUUUUUAGCAAAUAGUUUUUUGAACAUUUUGUAUAUGAAUUUUUAAAAAAAAUGAAGGCAAUUGUACUAGGAGAUCGAAUUAGAUGAAAAUCGAACUGAUCGAGUUAAUGUUUGUUCAAACUUGAUUUUGAUACUUUAAAUAUUUUUUUUCCUUGAGGCAAACAAUAAAAUGUUUCUCUUUGUCAUGUACUGUAUAAACAUACUUUGUAAUCGGUACAACCUGAAAUGUUUUUUUAAAAAAUUAGUUAAAAAACUCACAUUAGUAUCCUGAAAUUUUUUUUAAAAAAUUAGUUAAAAAACUCACAUUAGUAUUUUUUGAUUUUGCAUAUGUAUUUUUUAGUUCUGCAUAUGUAUUUACAGGUCUUUAUAUGUAUUUUCAGCUCUUUUAUGGUUGUAUAAAUAUUUUAUGCACAACUAUACAUAUAUCUUACAUAAUACAUAAGAAAAUACAUGUUUUACUGGAGUCAAAGUGUACACGUAUGACGGUAAUUCGUUCUAUUGGAGUAUUUUUUGAAAUACAAAUACCAAAAUAAAAUACAAUUACAUUUACUAAAUAUACAAAUGCAACUACAUCACAACAUAUAAUUACGAAUAUAACUACAACAUACAAUUAAGAUAAAUACAUAUCAAGAUAAAUAGUAUAGUUGUUUUAUACUGUGUUAAGAUAUGCAUUUGUAUUUUUUAUUUAAUAUGACAAUGAUAUGUACUUUGUAAAUACAUGAGUUUAUAUAUGUAUGUUUUAUAUGAUAAUAUACACUUUGGACCAGAUAUGUAUUUUGAAAAUAUAUAUGUGGGGAUAUAUGUAUUUGUUAUAAUGUAAUAUGUAUGAUGUAAUAGAAACAUAUGCAUAUUAUGUAGUUUUUUUUUUUUUUUUUGUGAGAAGUACAUGUAAUAUAGAUUUAUGUCAUUUUUUGGGUCUAUAGUUUCCACGUGAUCAAAUAUUCAUGGCAAGGGCACUUUCAAAAUUUGCACCACAUAUAGGAUGUCACACGGUCAACGAUAUUGAAGAACAUAUUAAGGCUAUGUUAUCAAAAGAGCAGUACAAGAAUUUUUCGUCAUAAGAAUAUUUUUGAUGUCUACAUCAUGAAGAAGAAAUGUGUAGUUUAAGCGCAAUUAGGCAAAUGUAUUAUGUCACUUUUUGUUAUAGAGAUUUUGUGUCCUAUAUAUUUAUAUAUACAUAUGAGUAAGAUAUGUAUUUCUGUAAAUACAUAUGCAGAUAUAUAUGUAUAUUUUGUAUUGUAAAUACAUACGCAGAUCU
RNAcentral lists this long non-coding RNA (3858 nucleotides) under Capsicum annuum. Its description in RNAcentral is "long non-coding RNA (CANN_LNC005454)". The record is from RNAcentral. Lineage: Eukaryota; Viridiplantae; Streptophyta; Magnoliopsida; Solanales; Solanaceae.